UGGCGACCGUACCAUUGCAGUUGAGCUACAUGGCAAUUGGCUAGCAUGCACAAAUGCAACGAGUUUAUUACCAGAAUUAACCAGCGACCGCGAGGAAGCGGACAAAAAACUCGUUGCAUGUGUGCAUGCUAGCCAAUUGCCACCUAGCUCAACUGCAAUGGUACGGUCGCCA
This 172-nucleotide microRNA precursor is filed under the name Paramuricea clavata. Lineage: Eukaryota; Metazoa; Cnidaria; Anthozoa; Malacalcyonacea; Plexauridae. The record is from RNAcentral.